AAACCAGCACCUCAAGUGGUCAGGAUGAUUAUUGGGCCUAAAGCAUCCGUAGCCGGCUCUGUAAGUUUUCGGUUAAAUCUGUACGCUUAACGUACAGGCUGCCGGGAAUACUGCAGAGCUAGGGAGUGGGAGAGGUAGACGGUACUCGGGAGGAAGUGGUAAAAUGCUUUGAUCUCUCGAUGACCACCUGUGGCGAAGGCGGUCUACCAGAACACGUCCGACGGUGAGGGAUGAAAGCUGGGGGAGCAAACCGGAUUAGAAACCCCUGUAGUCC
This 274-nucleotide ribosomal RNA is filed under the name uncultured bacterium. Its description in RNAcentral is "partial 16S ribosomal RNA". It matches the Rfam family "Archaeal small subunit ribosomal RNA", at positions 473 to 747 of the family's 1478-position model. The record is from RNAcentral.